Molecule: ribosomal RNA, 157 nt
Filed under: Saitoella complicata
Lineage: Eukaryota; Fungi; Ascomycota; Saitoellomycetes; Saitoellales; Saitoellaceae
Also listed under: 1 other name
Description: 5.8S ribosomal RNA
Rfam family: 5.8S ribosomal RNA
About the family: 5.8S ribosomal RNA (5.8S rRNA) is a component of the large subunit of the eukaryotic ribosome. It is transcribed by RNA polymerase I as part of the 45S precursor that also contains 18S and 28S rRNA.
Source: RNAcentral
AAACUUUCAACAAUGGAUCUCUUGGCUCCCACAUCGAUGAAGAACGCAGCGAAAUGCGAUACGUAAUGUGAAUUGCAGAAUUCAGUGAAUCAUCGAAUCUUUGAACGCACAUUGCGCUCCCUGGUAUUCCGGGGAGCAUGCCUGUUUGAGCAUCAUU